AUUGAACGCUGGCGGCGUGCUUAACACAUGCAAGUCGAGCGGUAACAGGCGUAGCAAUACGUGCUGACGAGCGGCGAACGGGUGCGUAAUACAUGGGAAUCUGCCCUUUGGUGGGGAAUAACCCGGCGAAAGCCGGGCUAAUGCCGCAUAAGAUCUUCGGAUGAAAGCGGGGGGUCGUAAGACCUCGCGCCGAUGGAUGAGCCCAUGUCGGAUUAGCUAGUUGGUGAGGUAACGGCUCACCAAGGCGACGAUCCGUAGCUGGUCUGAGAGGACGGCCAGCCACACUGGGACUGAGACACGGCCCAGACUCCUACGGGAGGCAGCAGUGGGGAAUAUUGGACAAUGGGGGAAACCCUGAUCCAGCGACGCCGCGUGUGUGAAGAAGGCCUGCGGGUUGUAAAGCACUUUCGAUGGGAACGAAAUGUGCCGGGCUAAUACCCCGGCAAGCUGACGUUACUCAAUGAAGAAGCACCGGCUAACUCUGUGCCAGCCGCCGCAGUAA
Molecule: ribosomal RNA, 502 nt
Filed under: uncultured bacterium
Lineage: Bacteria
Description: partial 16S ribosomal RNA
Rfam family: Bacterial small subunit ribosomal RNA
Source: RNAcentral